CCUACGGGAGUCAGCAGUGAGGAAUAUUGGUCAAUGGACGAGAGUCUGAACCAGCCAAGUAGCGUGAAGGAUGACUGCCCUAUGGGUUGUAAACUUCUUUUAUAAAGGAAUAAAACGAGGCACGUGUGCCUUUUUGCAUGUACUUUAUGAAUAAGGAUCGGCUAACUCCGUGCCAGCAGCCGCGGUAAUACGGAGGAUCCGAGCGUUAUCCGGAUGUAUUGGGUUUAAAGGGAGCGUAGAUGGGUUGUUAAGUCAGUUGUGAAAGUUUGCGGCUCAACCGUAAAAUUGCAAUUGAUACUGGCAGUCUUGAGUACAGUUGAGGUAGGCGGAAUUCGGGGUGUAGCGGUGAAAUGCUUAGAUAUCACGAAGAACCCCGAUUGCGAAGGCAGCUUACUAAACUGUGACUGACAUUGAUGCUCGAAAGUGUGGGUAUCAAACAGGAUUAGAUACCCUAGUAGUC
Molecule: ribosomal RNA, 460 nt
Filed under: uncultured bacterium
Lineage: Bacteria
Description: partial 16S ribosomal RNA
Rfam family: Bacterial small subunit ribosomal RNA
Source: RNAcentral